Molecule: unclassified non-coding RNA, 117 nt
Organism: Pongo abelii (Sumatran orangutan)
Lineage: Eukaryota; Metazoa; Chordata; Mammalia; Primates; Hominidae
Rfam family: Metazoan signal recognition particle RNA
About the family: The signal recognition particle (SRP) is a universally conserved ribonucleoprotein. It is involved in the co-translational targeting of proteins to membranes.
Source: Ensembl
GCCGGGUGUGGUGGCUCACGCCUGUAAUUCCAGCACUUUGGGAGGCCGAGGCAGGUGGAUCACCUGAGGUCAGGAGUUCAAGACCAGCCUGACCAACAUGGUGAAACCCUGUCUCUA